UCCUACGGGAGGCAGCAGGCGCGAAAACUCCGCAAUACACGAAAGUGUGACGGGGUUACCCAAAGUGCUUAAUAUUUAAGCUGUGGUAAGUGUGUAAUGUACCUUACUAGAAAGGAGAGGGCAAGGCUGGUGCCAGCCGCCGCGGUAAAACCAGCUCUUCAAGUGGUCGGGAUAUUUAUUGGGCUUAAAGUGUCCGUAGCUUGUAUAAUAAGUUCCUGGUAAAAUCUAAUAGCUUAACUAUUAGUAUGCUAGGAAUACUGUUAUACUAGAGGGCGGGAGAGGUUUGAGGUACUUCAGGGGUAGGGGUGAAAUCCUAUAAUCCUUGAAGGAUCACCAGUGGCGAAGGCGUCAGACUGGAACGCGCCUGACAGUGAGGGACGAAAGCCAGGGGAGCGAACCGGAUUAGAUACCCGGGUAGUCCAAGCCG
This 427-nucleotide ribosomal RNA is filed under the name uncultured archaeon. RNAcentral's name for it is "bacterial SSU rRNA". It matches the Rfam family "Archaeal small subunit ribosomal RNA", at positions 321 to 753 of the family's 1478-position model. The record is from RNAcentral.